CGCACGGGUGAGUAACACGUAUCCAACCUGCCGUCUACUCUUGGACAGCCUUCUGAAAGGAAGAUUAAUACAAGAUGGCAUCAUGAGUCCGCAUGUUCACAUGAUUAAAGGUAUUCCGGUAGACGAUGGGGAUGCGUUCCAUUAGAUAGUAGGCGGGGUAACGGCCCACCUAGUCUUCGAUGGAUAGGGGUUCUGAGAGGAAGGUCCCCCACAUUGGAACUGAGAUACGGUCCAA
Molecule: ribosomal RNA, 235 nt
Filed under: uncultured bacterium
Lineage: Bacteria
Description: partial 16S ribosomal RNA
Rfam family: Bacterial small subunit ribosomal RNA
Source: RNAcentral